This is a long non-coding RNA of Bufo bufo (common toad), 175 nucleotides long. RefSeq lists it as uncharacterized. The transcript has 4 exons. The record is from RefSeq and is a predicted model, not a curated record. NCBI's taxonomy places the organism in Eukaryota, Metazoa, Chordata, Amphibia, Anura, Bufonidae.
GAUUGGUUGCUUAGCUCUGUGCCUACCAUCAUGCCUAAGACUAAGUCCGGUAAGACCUCUUCUCAGACCCCAAUGGGGUCCUGUUGGAGUGUCUGCUCCCACUUUCGGUCACUGGUGCCUGUGCCUCCUGCCCUGCCUCUGGACAGAAUCACCUUUCUCCCCCUUCUCUUGCCCA